CGGACGGGUGAGUAAUGUCUGGGAAACUGCCUGAUGGAGGGGGAUAACUACUGGAAACGGUAGCUAAUACCGCAUAAUGUCGCAAGACCAAAGAGGGGGGACCUUCGGGCCUCUUGCCAUCGGAUGUGCCCAGAUGGGAUUAGCUAGUAGGUGGGGUAACGGCUCACCUAGGCGACGAUCCCUAGCUGGUCUGAGAGGAUGACCAGCCACACUGGAACUGAGACACGGUCCAGACUCCUACGGGAGGCAGCAUG
RNAcentral lists this ribosomal RNA (254 nucleotides) under uncultured bacterium. RNAcentral describes it as "partial 16S ribosomal RNA". It matches the Rfam family "Bacterial small subunit ribosomal RNA", at positions 99 to 353 of the family's 1533-position model. The record is from RNAcentral.